UCUGUAAUUCAUGAUCAUAACGCGCCCGAUCUCGUCUGAUCUCGGAAGCUAAGCAGGGUCGGGCCUGGUUAGUACUUGGAUGGGAGAUCAUUUUCUGUAAUUCAUGAUCAUUUUAGGU
RNAcentral lists this ribosomal RNA (118 nucleotides) under Neogale vison (American mink). The record is from RNAcentral. Lineage: Eukaryota; Metazoa; Chordata; Mammalia; Carnivora; Mustelidae.